CUGGCAUACUGUACAAACUGAAACAAUGUCUACAAAGCCUCUAAGAUUAUUCGACAUCAAAUGGGACAGGGCAUCGGCCUACCCAUAAGUCUGUAGUAAAACUCUGACACAAUGACUCAUAGACUCGGCUGCACUCCGAAUGAGGUGGAGUCUUACCGAUCCUUCGCUGAAUGCUAACCUCGUCUGCUAUGAGGGCUUGUCAAACUGAUUGUCUAUACCUGCAGGAAUGAAUGUAGCGUCCCCAACAAAAGGAGGUCAGUACGAAUAAUGUACUAAGUAUUUAAAGUAGAACUGACUCAACCUGUAAGUCUAGAUGACUCUGUAAAUCAUGAAAUACUUAUAGUGUUAUGCAUAUGUGUAUGAAUGUCAUGUCGUGCAUGGGUACAUGUGUUCAUAAUAUCAUCAUGCCUCUGAGGGCAUCCCAUCACAUCAUCUCGACCACUGUGGGGAAAUCAUCAACUUAUACCAGCUGAUUAGAUGGUGGUGCGUAUAUAACUCCAUAACCUUUCCCAUAUCCCAUAUAUAUACGCGUAUAUAAUGCCAUAACAUCAUCACGCCUCUGAGGGAAACCCAUCAUAUCAUCUCAACCACUGUGGGCAAAUCAUCAACGUAUACCAGCUGAUCAGGUGGUGGUGCAUAUAUAACGCCAUAACCUUUUCUCAUAUCCCAUAUACAUAUAUAUACGCAUAUAUAACGUCGUCUGAGUCAUGGGUAAAUGCACAUUAAAUGAAUGCAAUACAUGAGAAGUGCGUUAAUAAAACUUCUCGGAAUGUCAUAAGACCAUUAUACCUCUGAUUAAUAUCAUGAAAUAAACUUUUUUUUCAACUUACGUAUUUUUCUGAGACCUAUGAACGGAAGAUGUAAUAAUAAGACAUAUGGGAAUUCAAAAAUUCAUCGAAACAUUAUGUUCGCUACAAUUCAAAGUCUAUCUGGUUGCGGCUAUUACCCCAUCAUUUUAGGGAAAAGGACCCACAAUAAAAAAUCAAUAACAAGGGAAAGAAGAAUACAUAAUAUCCUACCAUCUUCAAAUGGAGUAAAAAAAAUCAUUUCCUAACUUUGUAAUAGGAAGCUAUGCUUUUUUUUGGUAAUAUUGUUUUAUGGAAAACAUAGAAGUAUAGGCCAGACUUACCCAGUCUGUAAGAAGAAACUUCAACGAAUUAUAAUUGGACAUUGUUUUGAAGUUCUAGCUUCUGUACUUCACUAGCAUCAUGUUGGCAGUGAUCAAAACUUGUUGGUGUGCAGGUACGCAUUCUGGAUGAAUCUCCAAGGAAUCAUAUUACAAGCUUUCGUUCAGCUUAGGAGCAAAUAGCAUGAAUUUCAUUUAGAGAAUUAGAUUGAAAGUGCAUCUUCUCUAGCUUUUGCAGUAAGCAAAGUAAAACUUUGUAACAUAAUGUGCUAAAAUCUCUUGUCCAG
RNAcentral lists this long non-coding RNA (1413 nucleotides) under Nicotiana tabacum (common tobacco). Its description in RNAcentral is "long non-coding RNA (NTAB_LNC016305)". The record is from RNAcentral. Lineage: Eukaryota; Viridiplantae; Streptophyta; Magnoliopsida; Solanales; Solanaceae.